This 10090-nucleotide long non-coding RNA is filed under the name Actinidia chinensis (golden kiwifruit). RNAcentral describes it as "long non-coding RNA (ACHI_LNC000149)". The record is from RNAcentral. Lineage: Eukaryota; Viridiplantae; Streptophyta; Magnoliopsida; Ericales; Actinidiaceae.
AAGACGGGUUCAUGAUUGUCAUCAAGUUGUACUGUAGCCGUAGCCUAGGCGACCGGUACAUCGGUGCUGUAUGUUGGAAAAGUUUUUGAUUUGAAUAAGAGAUCGACUUCUCUCCAAUUAAGAUAUGGACAAGAACGAAGCUAAGGUUAGUUUUUAGGGCCAAGAAUAAGUAACAAAACACCACCCAAAAGUUUUUUUUGUAAUACAUAUCAUUUAUAUAUGUUAUCAAAACUUGUUGAAAUCUUCUAGAAAAGGAGACACAUCAUAUUAGCAAACGAUUUUUGGAUAAAAUAUUAACAGUAGAGUUAUGUCUUUUCAUUUUAAAGGGCUUCAAACGAAAAGGCGCGCUUUAGAGACAUGAUCUUUUGUGAAAAGGUUUCUAGACGUCUAUAAAUAAGGGAUAUGGAUUUAUGGUGCCUUUCAUCUGUCUUGCAAUAUAUUUUCUAUUUUCAUUCUAUUUGAUUUUAUUUCCCAUUAGGACUAUUUAUUUCCAUGCAGUUUGUUCCAUUUUCAUGAUCUACAUUUUACCAUUUUGAUUAGUGUAUAAUUUUAAUAAUUAGGGCAUAAGUUAAUCCUUAACUUUUUUAACUGAAACAAGGUAUGCGCAUCAAUUAGAGAACUUUAUAGUCUGGCCAUGGAAAACGAAGGCAGCAUAACGUUGAAUAAAAACGUGCAAAGGGGCGGUUCGGUCGCCCCGCAGGGACAGUUGCAAUAUGCAUGUAGCUUUGGAAAGAGAGUGCUCAUGGAUCAAGAUCAAUCCUCCGGCUCGAGGAGUGUAUGGAAGAAAGGAGCUAAGGUUUUAUUUAAAGUCACACUAGGUUUUAUGGGAGUAGGUAUCCCUUUGUUCCUUGACGAUGAUGAUUCUGAAUCUCCGAUAGUGUAGAUUAGGCUUUAGAAAAUCGUGUUUGGCUUCUGUUUUCAGAAUUAGGUUUUCAGAAUUGUUUUCGAAAAUUUGUUUAGUUAACGAUUUUCGACACUUUCUUAUAAAAAAUUAUUAUGAAUUUUCAUAAUGCGAUCAUUUUCCCUCUAGAAAUGAAUAAGAUGUGAAAAUCCUAAAUGUUCCGACUUUAAAAACAAUAUAUGAAAAGUGUUUAGCAAAGUUAAUUCUAAAACUAUCACAAAAUACAAUUUUAUAUUUUAGAUAAGUCUGAUUCCAAUUGCUUAUAGAAUCCACUCAGAGGCAAAAGAGACUACAACACGACCCAAAGAAAAAACAUGAAAAAGUCCUCGACUUUUGUUGAAUAUUUAUGUACCUUGAACGACAUACUUUAACCAUUUACGAUAAUUCCUCCAAACAAACACAAGUUUAUCACUAAACUAAUUAAGGCAACUACUUGGAUUUUAUUGAAGUUAGAGAUUAGAAUAUAAUAAUGGAUAUAGAAACCUUAGUUGCCAUUUUUUAUAGGGAAAUAAUUUCUACACUCCAAAAAUGAUAUUUACACUCCAAAAUAGGAGUGUGAAAUCAACACCAUUAUGGUAUUGAUUUCUACACUCCUAUUUUGGAGUGUAGAUAUCAAAAAUGGAGUGUAGAAAUAAAUUUCCAUUUUAUAUCUGGUGACUCAUUCGAGUAGCGAAUGCCUAUUAUAAGAAAGGAGACAUAAAAUAUCUGUGAUUUUGUGUUAUUCCAAGAUGGAUGACGAUACUCUGGCAAUUUAAAAUCGAUCAAACAACGUAAAUUGAGUAAAAAACAAAAAUAGGUCUGUGAUAAUUAAUAACAUCCGUGAAAGCAACAAUUGUAUAUGUGGCAUUAAUAUGGAAACUAUUCCAACUAAAACACUUUCGGUACUGGAAGUUUGGAUAGGGCUGCCAUGUCCCGGGGCGGCGCCAGGUAAUUCCUGAUGGGGUCAGAUGAUCCCAUCAGCUUUUGAAAAUGUUUAAAAAAAAUUUUUUUUAGUGUUUAAAAUGUUCAAAAAAUUUUUUUUUGUGUUAUAUAUAUGUUUUAAAAAAAAUUGAACCAAUAUAAUAAAAGGAAAUAUAGAGUGCACAAUGACACCCAUUAGCAAAAAUUUCUUGAGCAGCCAAGCACUGCAUAGUCCCAACCAAGUUAUGGAAUUAAGCUUAGCAAGCUGUUUUGUUUGUUAAUUUUUUUUCAUAAUUAGUUCUAAAUUCACUUCUAAAAAUCUAAUUGGUUGGCAUGUUUUUAAAAUUUAUUUUUAUGAGAUUCGAGAAGAGCUCAUUAUUUUUUUAAAAAAAUUAAAGAGAAUAAAUAAGGUACAAAAACUGUGAAUAUUUUUGUUUUUUAAAAAUAAUUUAUAAACUGAUUUUAAACAUUAAAACAAUAAAAUAAGUUCUUACGAAAAAUUUAUGCACAGAGAGUGAAAUAUUUUAUUUUCAAUUUUGAUCAGGGGACAUGACUAAAUAGAUACUGCCAUUAACAAAUUAUGAUACUGAGUAAGGGUGAGGUUUGGUAGGAUCCAAAAUUGUGGAACUGGGGUGUUUGAAUAAGAUAAAAAAGUGUGGGGCUCACGCAAAGGACAUGAUCCAACGUCCACUUGGUGACUAGUAGAUAAUAAGUUAGGGCUCGUUUGACACCAGCUUUUUUUAGCUUUUCUGGCUUUUUGGCUUAAAAUAAGCAAAAAAACCAAUCAGAGUUGGCUUUUUUGCUUUUCGGAUUUUGCUUUUUUGCUUAGGUUUGCUAAAGUAAAGACCACAAAAAGUAAAAAAAAUCAAAAAUCUUGGCCCUCUUAGUAGCAAGCUUAAAAAAAAGCCUUGGUUUUUUAAGCAUUACCAAACGGAGCCUUCGGUGAGGCAAUCUGCUCACCCAUCAUUUUGGCGCUGGUAAUACCCAUAAGUUAUCAGAAUCGAAUCGGUGAUGAACUGGUCAAGACACCGGUUUAAUGAUUCGUGGUCAACGUGUUCAACGGUUAUUAUAAGAAAUAAUAAUAAAAAAUAUAUUUAAAUAAAAAAUAAUCAUUAAAAAAUUAAAAUAGAAUAAAAGAUACUCUUUGUUUAUACCAAUAAUUCCAACAUAAGUACACAUAUAAAUACAUAUAAAACAAAUACAAAAUAUAAAUUAUAAAAAAUUUGAAAAUGAUUUCUUUGUCUUUCCAAUUAAAAUUUUUUAACCGAUUACUUAUUGGUUAUUUUUAUAUUUAAAAGAAAAAAUAUAAAAAUUGUCAAUAAUGUGAAUUAUUAAGAUAAUAAUGUGCCAAUUAUUGGUGUUUUGUCAUUUUAGUGUUUUAAUUUUCUCCUAUUACUUUUCUAUUUUUUAUCUUAUUUGUAUUUUUUACAUUAUAGAUUUUUUUUCAUAAUAUGUAUCUCGAUGAUCUAAUUAUAAAUACCAAAUAUUGAAAGAUAGUGAUUUGUACAUGUUUUUUAAUUGCAUCCAUUUUUUAUUUUUAUUAAAAAUAAAGUUACAAAAUUUACUAGCUAAAUCAAAUACCAAAAUCAAAACCAAAAAAUCAAAAAUUUAAAACAUUAAAAACCACUAGGCCACUUAAAUAUUUGUAUUUUUUUAAAACAAGAAUAUUUGUGUUUUUUACUUUUUUCAAAAAACCAGCCGGCUCACUAAAUACCGGCGGUUCAAUGGUUUUCAAAAUACGGCGGUUCGGCCGGUCAAUCCGGGUUACAUGUAUUUUCGGUAUUUUAAGUAAAAACGUUCCGAUUCACUGUCGAUUCCGAUUCAAUCGGUUGAACCGGCCGAUUCGAUCGAUUUUUAAAAACUAUGGGUUACCGUGCACCCCAAUCUAUGUUCCAGCCCACACCCAACCUCUCCACAUUCAAUGCACACUGGUAGCAGACGUCUCUCUCUCUUUCUCUUUCUCUCUCUAUGUGUAUGUGUACCGUGGCUAUAAAUGUUCAGAGAUUUCAGUAAUUCUCACUGCAUUUGAUUUAAAUUAUAUUUUCAUAAAACAAGUGGUUCAAGCAGCUUGUCUUUAUAAAAAAUAACUUUAAAUUAGGGAGUAAUGUUUGUAGAAUGAGAAAUGACUGCCGGCUCGAACUCGGAUAUUAUCACAGGCUCAAUACGUUACAGAACCACAUAACCCAUUUGGAGGUAGUGGAGACAUUUUUUUUUUUAAAAGUUAUCCACUCCACAUGGGAGUCGUAGUGUUGCCACGCAAGUGAGGCCGUGCGUGAUAAAUACCCAUGAGCUUUGAGCCGUCUGAUCAUUCCCGAUGAGAAUGGUCGUCCAUUGCAUCAAGGCGAAACGUGUUCAGUCUCGUAAGGGGGCCCCCCUUGGCACCCAACGUUGUUGUAAAUUAGCGUGCCUUUUACUCGAUUUAAUGAAACCAAAACUUAGAACCAAGCCCAAGAGACUGACUCCAUUAUGGUGAGCGCGACCCGACAAUUUUGUAAAAAUCUAGGCUAAAUUUAAACCAUUGUUUUCUUUGAUUGAUUUUUUCUAGUAGGAUAAAUUUAUCAAAAAUCUUUCUAGUAAAGAUAAUUUGAUUACAUGUGGAGGUACUGGGCCUUACGAAAAACUAGUAUAAUUAUAGAGUAAUUAAAAAAGUAUGAAGAUGUCUCUGUUUAUCAAACUCUUUGUUUUGACCAUCCAUAACAGAGUUAGGCGUUCAAUUUAAUUCAACAUUUCGAAGAUGGCUGCAAUUUUACUAAGAUUAGGAGAUUUAAAUGCAAUUAAAAAACUACAUACGAGUUUUUUAUACUUUCUAAAUAAGAGGAUUACCCGACAUAAAGUCAGCCCCACCCGCACAUUAGCGGUAAAUUUUUAAUUAGUUCUAGAUUCAACUUUUAAAAAUCUAAUUGGUUGGGAAAUUUGUUUUAUGAGAUUCGGAGAAGAGCUCGUUUAUUUAAAAAUAAAUAAAUUAAAGAGAUGAUAUCAAAAUUUUUGAAAUUAGGUUUGAUAGAGAAUAAAUAAGAUACGAAAAUUUAAAUGUUUUUGUUUUAACAAUAAUUUAUAAUGAUUUUUAAAAUUAGAACCAAAUAAACUAAUUCUUACGGAACACUGGCAAAUUAUUACAUAAAAUCAAUAGAAAACAAAAUGUGUAAACAAAUAUCAGUUUUUCCACAGGGCAAAAAAGAACUUCUUUGUGAAGUCGUCGAGGACGAGGUCGAAUUGGUUGGCAUUUUUUGAAUGAAAUUUAUUUAUGGUUUUGGAGAAGAGCUCUUUUAUUUUAAAAAAAAAUUAAAGAGAUGUUAUCAAAAUCUUUGAGAGGAGGGAACAAAUAAGAUACGAAACGGUGAAUGUUUUUGUUUUAAAAAAUAAUUGUUAGGUAAAUAAAAUACACUCUUACAAAAAAAAACUUGUGAAAAAUAUAUUUACAUUAAAAUUCAAUAAGAAAAACAAAAAUGUGGUUUGUAUACAAAAUCAGUUUUUCACAGGCCACCAAAAAAGACUUCAUGUGAAGUCGACCGAGGACGAGUCUACCAUGCCAAAGGACACUCCGAAGUCACUGUACCAAUGGUCCUCACAGUUAUGGCAUCAUUCCGAAACAAUGACGGGAGCUACAUUAAAUCUGUCUAUAAGUAUCAAACUUUUUAUUAAUUAGACUCAAAUUUGAAACACUUGCAAAAUUUUUAAUUCCAUGGAUGUGUUGUAAACUAAAAAUAGACUCAAAUUCUGAACAUACGCGACUUCUAUGAAUUGACCUAUAUUGUUUUUCUACGGAAUAUAAAAUUAAAAAUAUUUGAGUUUAUGUUUAGGACAAGAGUAAUACUCUACUCGUUGAUUUUAAAGAGAGUUACAUAUAAUAAGGUUUGAUAAAUAAGUAAAGAGAUCUUGUGUAUAAUGAUCGUUAUUAAAAGUGAUUUAAUCUAUAAUUAUUGAUACCUGAUCAACUCCAUUUUUAGGUAGAUGGUAAACCAACAUGUCUUUAUAAUAUGAACGGUUGAAUUAUCGAUAUAGGUUAAGAGCUGUUAAAUUGGCACAUUACCGUUUAAAAUUAAGUUUUAGAGAAACGACCUUAUUCCAUAAUGCAUAAAUUGUUUUUUACUGUAAGUCUGGGGGGCCUUUUGGUAAUUAUUAUAUUCGAAUAACAAUUAGAAUUAAAAAAAAAAUGACAGAGAAAUAUUUUUUUAAAUAAAUUAAAAAUAGUGACAUAACAUAAUUCAAAAGCAUAUACAAAACUGUAAAAUAAGAGAAAUAAAUUGCAAACCGAGAUGAGUCUCGCGUUUCACACCGCUCUCCUUCAAGGUUAAUCGUCCUAUGAGCAUUGAGUUAGUGGACGUCGAUCCAUGAGGCAUCCAACUAGCCCACCCCCAACUCUGCACACGUGUUAGCAGUUGCAACUCACAUGAACCGUCGAACUCACAGUUUAUUUUGAUCUUCUAUAGGACGAGACAAAAAGUUUACAAAAAAACUCUCUCAGAGAAUGUGUGCUCUUAGCUAUUUUUUCUUCGUUGGGUUUGCUGCAUACCUUGGGUUGCCACUUUACGGCAAAGAGACAAGAUGAUUUAUAUAAGAGUAAGUUGUUGAGCCUUCCAUCCGUUAGGUAAUGCAUUUUGACCGCAAGUGGGGCAGAAAAGUACACCAACCAGCAGCACCCGCACACAGUCUACCAUAAAAUGAAAAUCACCUGUUAGGCAUGUUGCAGAAAUCCAUCCAAAAAACUAACUUUAGUUACAAUUGAAUGAUUCGGAGAGGAAAAUUCAAAUAUAAAGAUAAAAUUGUGGGAAUUGAAAAUGAUGACCAAACAAAGUCGAAAAAAACUAUGGGGCUUUGGUACAUUUACCCUUUCUAUUUCCGUGUGGGCUUUGAAUCCGUUUGCAUCGUGAAAACAAGGAUAAAAUAAUUUUUCUUUGUAAUGAACCAAUUCACUAGAGCUUACAAGCCUCUAAACAGAGCUUCGUUAUUACCUAUUUCACUCUUUUUUUCUCUCAGGCUAACGCAUUUAACAGGGGGCAUUCCUUUUGGAACAUCUCCAAAGGUUCACCUUUCCAUAUCUACUUUCUGAGGUUUUUUGAUGACCAGACUAAAUAUUGAAAAGAUAAACAUAAUUGUUGAGGCUAGUAAUUAGUAUGCACCAAAAAGAGUUUAUAAUUAGAAGAAAGGAAAAGAGAGGAAGGAAGGGGAAGAUAAUUAUAGUUCAUCUUCUUUUUAUAUUCGGUUCUUUGAGACGAAAAGAAAAAUUAUUAAGAGAAACUUAAAAUAGAAUGAGAUUUUUUUUCACACUUCCUUAGUUUCUUUACUCUUUUAUUCUUCUUUUUAUUAUUAAUUUACCUUGAUUUUUAUUCCUUGUUGUCUAUAAAAUCGAACCGAAAAAAUGUAUUUAGAUUCAUAUUUCCUUCUUUUUUUUCAAGUAACAAACAUUUGUCCAAGCAGAAAGAAAAGAAAAAGAGAAGAGAGAAGAGGAAUGCAACAAAUCAAUGUCAAAAAAAGGUUUGAAUCUAAUUACAGACAGAAGAAACUCUUUUUUUUUUCCACCUCCUAUCUCAAGCAUAGAAAAGACAGGUUUUGAGCGAAAAUUAAUAGUAACAAGAACAAUCAUAUUUGUUUUAGAAAAAUAGAGAGUCUAUUCUAAAAUUAAAUUUUUAUUUUUUAUAGAAGUCAACCAAUCAUGUGGUUAUAUUGACCCGAUAAGUCCGGGCUGUUUAUCGGAUGCAUCAUCCAUCAUAGGUACAAGCUGAGUAGUAUUUGGAUCAUAAGAUAGGUAAGAGUAGAACCCUCAACUUAUUAAAUUAUUAUACAAUUUAAAUAAACCACUCCAUAAUUCAACGUAAAUCAAAUAUCGAUAACUGUGUGAUAGUUCCAGAGUAUCUUUAAAAAGAAAAUAAAAUUAGAAUGGAGAAGGGUCGGUCCAUUGCUUCAAGCAUUAUAAAUCAAAACCAUUAAAUCAGUACUUUAUACGAAUUUGAAAAAUAAUCCUUUCGGCAAAAAAUCUAGGCUACUUAUUUUUACAUGUAGUGAAAAGAUUUGAGUAAAGGUGAAUGUAUUGUAGUUAUUACGCGUUAUAUUUUUAAACUGUGUAACCGAACUAACUCGCAUUAUACGGUUUGAUUUUAAUGGUUCAACGGUUUGGUUUGAAAAUUUUUUCUUGAACCGUUAUGAAGGUUUGGUUUGUAAUUUCCCUAAAAAUUGGGUCAAUCUAAACUAUGAUUACUCCGAUAUCCUAUUAGAUAAUAAAUUAAAAUAGUAAAAUAAUAUUUUUUAGCAGUACUUAUUCUCUCUCCCAGUCCCCACUAAAAUGCCGCAGGCACCCUCUCUGAAGCAAAAUUUUGGUACUGCUUCGUCGGCAAAACGUUAAAAAAAGGGUGGUUAAAAUUCACCAACACCCUCGCAACUAGCGCAAGAGUCUAUUCAGAGUCCUCAAAUUUUCUAUAAGACGUAAGUGCAAGUAGUCUUCGCUUGAGCUUCGCCUCUCAAAACACGAUCACUCCAAUUUUGUUUUUAAAAAAAAAAUAAAAUGGAUUCAGGAGCUUGAGAUCAACCUAUCUCACGUCAGCGAUCUGGAGUGCGUCGACAGAGAUUAAGAUGAAGCUACGCGGUAGGUGGUUGGACAGUUGGAGACAAACAUGAAACAGAGAAGGCAAACGCCGGGGACAAGGAAAAGAGACGAAACCCUGCCUGAACUUCACCUUCGGUACCGUGGGGGAGGAGCGUUUGACCAAAAGGAGGGGUCAUGAUUGUCAUCAAUUGCUUACUGUAGCCGUUACCCCUAGGCGAGCAGGUACAUCGGUGAGGUUGUUGGAAAAGUUUUUGAUUUGAAUAGAGACCGGACUUUCUCAUAAGAUUUGGAUAGAUCGAAGCUAAGAUUAGAUUUCAGGGCCAGAAUAAGUAACAAAACACCACCCAAAAGUUUUUUUUUUGUAAAUACUUAUCAUUAUUAUGUUAUCAAAACUUGUUGAAAUCUUCUAGAAAAGGAGACAACAUCAUAUUAGCAAACGAUUGUGGGAUUAAGUAUUAACAGUAGAGUUAUGUCUUUUUCAUUUUAAAGGGGCGUUUCAAACGAAAAGCGCAGCUUUAGAGACAUGAAUCUUUUGUGAAAAAGGUUGUAGAGUAUCAAUAAGGGAUAGGGAAUUUAUGGUGCCAUUCUUACAAUACAUUUUUCUAUUUUCAUUCUAUUUGAUUGUAUUUUCCCAUUAGGACGUAUAUUUCCAUGCAGUUUGUUCCAUUUUUGAUCUACAUUUUACCAUUUUGAUUAGUGUUAAUUUUAAAAUAAGCAUAGUAAUCCCUAACUUUUUUGUAAUGAAACAAGGUACGUAGAUCAACAGAGAACUUUAUAGUCAGGCAUGGAAAACGGUGGCAGCAUAACGUUGAAGAAAAACGUGCAAAGGGGCGGUUCAGACGCCACGCAGGGACAGCUGCAAUUUGCAUGCAGCUUUGGAGAGAAAGUGAUCAUCGAACCACCGCCCCCCGGCUCACCGAAUGUAUGGAAGAAAGGAGCUAAGGUUUUAUUGGCAGUCAUACUAAAUUUAGUGGGAGUUGGUGUCCCUUUGUUCCUUGAUGAUGAUUCUGCAUCUAAAUCUGAAUCUCCGAUAGUGUAGAUUAGGCUUUAGAAAAUCGUGUUUGGCUUCUGUUUUCGAAUCAGGUUUGCAGAAUGGUUUUUAAAAAUUUGUUUGGUUGACGGUUUUCGGCACUUUGUUAUAUAAAAUUAUUAGAAUUUUCAUAAUGCGAUCAUUUUCCCUCUAGAAAUGAAUAAGAUGUGAAAAUCCUAAAUGUUUUGACUUUAAAAAUAAUAUCUGAAAAGUGUUUUGCAAAAUUAAUUUUAAAACUGCCACAAAAUAGAGUUUUAUAUUCUAGAUAAGACGGAUUCCAACUGCUUAUAAAAUCCACUCCAACACGACCAAAAAAAAAAAAUGAAAAGAUCCUUGGAUUUUGUUGAAUAUUUAUGUACAGUGAACGACGUACUUUAAUUAUUUAUGAUGAUUCCUCCUAGCAAGCAGACUUUUAUCACUAAACUAAUUAAGGCAACUACUUAGAUUUUAUUGAAGUUAGAAAUUAGAAUAUAAUAAUGGAAAUAGAAACCUUAGUUGCCAUUUUUAUGUCUGGUUACUUAUUCGAGUAGCGAAUGCCUAUUAUAAGAAAGGAGACAUAAAAUAUCUGUGAUUUUGUGUUAUUCUAAGAUGGAUGACGAUACUCUUGCAAUUUAAAAUCGUUUAAAUAGGUCUGUGAUAAUAAAGCAUCCGAGUGAAAUCGUCCGAGUCUUCCAUGCCAAAGGACAUGUCUGAAGUCACUGUACCAAAUGGUUCCCAC